Sus scrofa (pig) is the source of this 1922-nucleotide long non-coding RNA. RefSeq lists it as uncharacterized. NCBI's taxonomy places the organism in Eukaryota, Metazoa, Chordata, Mammalia, Artiodactyla, Suidae. The record is from RefSeq and is a predicted model, not a curated record.
AUGACGUCGCUGAGGCUGCGGCGGCUCAGUGUUUCCCGCGUGGGUACCCCUGCUCCGCUGGUCCUUGGACUGCUUCCCAUGGUCCCCUAGGAAUCAAGUAAGGAAGGAGAGCGAAGAAAUAGGACCUGCCUCUGUUCCUCUGCACGCUGUGACCCCCACCUGGUGCCUGUAGGCGGUGUCCUGGGCCUUGGGUGCCUUUCACACGAGGGAAACAGAGGCAAAGUAAGGGUUAGCCGAGGUCACGCCCGGACUAGGGCCGAACAGAUGGGGAGUCCACCAAGCUUGAAGAGCCCGCCGGGUUUACAGGGUCCGACGGCGACGCUCGCUGGGAGGGACGCAGGAGUGGAAAUGAGUCCCCGCUGAGCCUGGAGUGGCAAAUCUGCACGACUGAAUCAGAGUCCUGGAUUCUUAAACCCUAUAAGCCUCCAUUCCUCCACACUCCAGCCAGAACCACUUCACAGCACAGGAAUACGCCCCUUUGGAGGCAAUCCCACCCUCCAAGUUUAUCUGAGAGAACAACAUAAAGAUUCUCCCUCCUAAAUAUGAGCCCCAGGACUUGCUCUGGGCCAGGCCACCACUCACCAUCCCCUGGGUAUAUUCAGCCCAGAUCCCUCCCCAGAACCCAAUAGGUCACGUGACACUUGGGACACCUCAGGGUUACCAUGUACAAAAUCUAGUCCCCGAAACGGGCUCCCUGCACUGAAUCCCCCAGCUCCACUCUUGCAGGUGUUCAGGAAACAAGAAGCAAAAGUGCAAACCAAAAAUCCCUACUUUUUCAGAGCGACGUCUGGUGCGGUAAGAAAUCCUGUCUGUUGAGUUUUUAAAACCCAUUGGAGAGUUGAUCAUUCCUCCCCGUCUCUAACCACCAGCAAAAGCCCAGCCCCCCGCCCCCGAACUAUUAGUCUGUCGUACUGACUUCCUAUAGGGAGACCUUUCAUCACCCCCAUCCCAGUCUGUUUUUCCCUGAGAAGCCUUUGGAAAACUGAAACAUAGGUUGAGCCCUCCGUUUAGUCACAACCCUUCGCGGCCACCAGCAGCCUCAGAACGAAGGUCCCCGCUGCUCGCGCUGCCUUUUCACGUGUGUCUCGUCCCCUCAGAAGCGGCUCUGUGCGCAGCUGAGACAGACCUCGAGGUAAGACUCCGAGUGGAGUAACUGCCCCAAGGCUUUGAUUUUGCCGGUCCCUCGGCCUGUAAGCCCCUGCCACACCCCAUCACACUCGCUGGCAGAAAUGGGGACCCCCACCCACAUGCUCCUACAGACCUGGGCCCAGGUGCUUGAGCAGGGGACGGUCAGCGGGCCCUUGAGUGUCCGAGGGGCUGAGCGUCUAGAGGACGAGCGUUUACCUGAACCGGGACCCUCCGCGCGGCCGCCGCCAUCGGAGUCUGAGGGCUGAGAGGGGCGGGGAGCGGAGGACCAGGUCGGGACCCAGGCAUCCCUGCCCCCGACCCAGAAUCGGGUUACCCUCGGCGUCGCUGCCGAACGCCAGCACCGCCUUUGUGCGUUGAAGACAACGGCUGCCUCCUCUCGAGCCUUCUUGCUCUCGUGCCCCAAGCUCAACACCAGGUUUCCGGAGGCUCUAAUCGGGAGGACGGACCCUAAGGCGACGCCGGAAGUCCCGCCCAUCGGGUUCCACACACUUUAACGUCUGUUUUCUUGGCGGAGCUUUUAGCAGCCUCGGAGAGCAGCGCCUGCUGGAUAAUGUAGUUCCCAUGUCGCCAAACGUGGAGAGAGUGGACCGCUGCAGAGAAGGCGGUGGGAAAGAAAUUAGGGUCCGGAAUUCGGCCAGAUUGUCAUCUAGAGACUUUAUUGUAGGUGCCCCUGUAUUUCAAUGUCCCUGCACAGUUGGUGCUCCAAUCUUUCCUCCUCUUGAAGGAUUUAAGGGAUCUUGACCACAAUAAAGCCGUUUCCCGGGAACAAAGCA